UACAGAGGGUGCGAACGUUGCUCGGAAUUACUGGGCGUAAAGCGCACGUAGGCGGACUCUUAAGUCGGUGGUGAAAUCCUGGAGCUCAACUCCAGAACUGCCUUCGAUACUGAGAGUCUCGAGUCCGAGAGAGGUGAGUGGAACUGCGAGUGUAGAGGUGAAAUUCGUAGAUAUUCGCAAGAACACCAGUGGCGAAGGCGGCUCACUGGCUCGGUACUGACGCUGAGGUGCGAAAGCGUGGGGAGCAAACAGG
This 253-nucleotide ribosomal RNA is filed under the name uncultured bacterium. Its description in RNAcentral is "partial 16S ribosomal RNA". It matches the Rfam family "Bacterial small subunit ribosomal RNA", at positions 524 to 776 of the family's 1533-position model. The record is from RNAcentral.